RNAcentral lists this ribosomal RNA (164 nucleotides) under Dubouzetia caudiculata. RNAcentral describes it as "5.8S ribosomal RNA". It matches the Rfam family "5.8S ribosomal RNA". From Rfam's summary of the family: 5.8S ribosomal RNA (5.8S rRNA) is a component of the large subunit of the eukaryotic ribosome. It is transcribed by RNA polymerase I as part of the 45S precursor that also contains 18S and 28S rRNA. The record is from RNAcentral. Lineage: Eukaryota; Viridiplantae; Streptophyta; Magnoliopsida; Oxalidales; Elaeocarpaceae.
AACGACUCUCGGCAACGGAUAUCUCGGCUCUCGCAUCGAUGAAGAACGUAGCGAAAUGCGAUACUUGGUGUGAAUUGCAGAAUCCCGUGAACCAUCGAGUCUUUGAACGCAAGUUGCGCCCUAAGCCAUCAGGCCGAGGGCACGUCUGCCUGGGUGUCACGCAU